AUUCCAGCUCCAAUAGCGUAUUUUAAAGUUGCUGCAGUUAAAAAGCUCGUAGUUGGACUUCGGGAUCGAGCUGACGGUCCGCCGCGAGGCGUGCCACCGUCUGUCCCAGCCCCUGCCUCUUGGCGCCCCCUCGAUGCUCUUGACUGAGUGUCCCGCGGGGUCCGAAGCGUUUACUUUGAAAAAAUCUGAGUGUUCAAAGCAGGCCGAGUCGCCUGAAUGCCCCAGCUAGGAAUGAUGGAAUAGGACUCCGGUUCUAUUCCGUGGGUUUCUCUGAGCCGGGGCCAUGAUUAAGAGGGACGGCCGGGGGCACUCGUAUUGCCCUGACAGAGGUGAAAUUCUUGGACCGGCGCAAGACGGACGAAAGCGAAAGCAUUUGCCAAGAAUGUUUUCAUUA
RNAcentral lists this ribosomal RNA (394 nucleotides) under Philypnodon sp. Its description in RNAcentral is "partial small subunit ribosomal RNA". It matches the Rfam family "Eukaryotic small subunit ribosomal RNA", at positions 582 to 975 of the family's 1831-position model. The record is from RNAcentral. Lineage: Eukaryota; Metazoa; Chordata; Actinopteri; Gobiiformes; Eleotridae.